RNAcentral lists this ribosomal RNA (253 nucleotides) under uncultured bacterium. Its description in RNAcentral is "partial 16S ribosomal RNA". It matches the Rfam family "Bacterial small subunit ribosomal RNA", at positions 524 to 776 of the family's 1533-position model. The record is from RNAcentral.
UACGAAGGGUGCAAGCGUUAAUCGGAAUUACUGGGCGUAAAGCGUGCGUAGGCGGUUCGUUAAGUCUGAUGUGAAAGCCCUGGGCUCAACCUGGGAAUGGCAUUGGAUACUGGCGGGCUAGAGUGCGGUAGAAGGGUGCGGAAUUCCCGGUGUAGCGGUGAAAUGCGUAGAGGUCGGGAGGAACAUCCGUGGCGAAGGCGGCACCCUGGACCAGCACUGACGCUGAGGCACGAAAGCGUGGGGAGCAAACAGG